RNAcentral lists this ribosomal RNA (882 nucleotides) under Advenella sp. VC-YC6677. Its description in RNAcentral is "bacterial SSU rRNA". It matches the Rfam family "Bacterial small subunit ribosomal RNA", at positions 37 to 912 of the family's 1533-position model. The record is from RNAcentral. Lineage: Bacteria; Pseudomonadati; Pseudomonadota; Betaproteobacteria; Burkholderiales; Alcaligenaceae.
CCGCGCGUGCGCAACAAUGCAGUCUGACGCAGCUCGAAAGUAGCUUGCUACUUUUGCCGGCGAGUGGCGAACGGGUGAGUAAUGUAUCGGAACGUGCCCAGUAGCGGGGGAUAACUACGCGAAAGCGUGGCUAAUACCGCAUACGCCCUACGGGGGAAAGGGGGGGAUCUUAGGACCUCUCACUAUUGGAGCGGCCGAUAUCGGAUUAGCUAGUUGGUGGGGUAAAGGCCUACCAAGGCGACGAUCCGUAGCUGGUUUGAGAGGACGACCAGCCACACUGGGACUGAGACACGGCCCAGACUCCUACGGGAGGCAGCAGUGGGGAAUUUUGGACAAUGGGGGAAACCCUGAUCCAGCCAUCCCGCGUGUGCGAUGAAGGCCUUCGGGUUGUAAAGCACUUUUGUCAGGGAAGAAAAGGUUUCGGAUAAUACCCGGAACUGAUGACGGUACCUGAAGAAUAAGCACCGGCUAACUACGUGCCAGCAGCCGCGGUAAUACGUAGGGUGCAAGCGUUAAUCGGAAUUACUGGGCGUAAAGCGUGCGCAGGCGGUUCGGAAAGAAAGAUGUGAAAUCCCAGGGCUCAACCUUGGAACUGCAUUUUUAACUACCGAACUAGAGUAUGUCAGAGGGGGGUGGAAUUCCACGUGUAGCAGUGAAAUGCGUAGAUAUGUGGAGGAACACCGAUGGCGAAGGCAGCCCCCUGGGAUAAUACUGACGCUCAUGCACGAAAGCGUGGGGAGCAAACAGGAUUAGAUACCCUGGUAGUCCACGCCCUAAACGAUGUCAACUAGCUGUUGGGCCCUUCGGGGCUUAGUAGCGCAGCUAACGCGUGAAGUUGACCGCCUGGGGAGUACGGUCGCAAGAAUUAAACUCAAGGAAUUG